RNAcentral lists this ribosomal RNA (253 nucleotides) under uncultured bacterium. RNAcentral describes it as "partial 16S ribosomal RNA". It matches the Rfam family "Bacterial small subunit ribosomal RNA", at positions 524 to 776 of the family's 1533-position model. The record is from RNAcentral.
GACGAAGGUGGCGACCGUUGUUCGGAAUCACUGGGCAUAAAGAGCACGUAGGCGGCAAGGUAUGUCGGGUGUGAAAUCCCUCGGCCUAACCGAGGAAUUGCGCCCGAAACUACCGUGCUUGAGGAUGGAAGGGGAGCGUGGAAUUCCUGGUGGAGCGGUGAAAUGCGUUGAUAUCAGGAGGAACACCGGCGGCGAAGGCGACGCUCUGGUCCAUUACUGACGCUGAGGUGCGAAAGCCAGGGGAGCAAACGGG